CCCAGGUGCCCCAUUUAAGAUAUAUUUUGAUGAAAGAAGUUCUUAUUUUUAAUAUAGUCUAAUAUGUCAGUCUUUUGUUUUAUGGACCUCAAGUACAAUGCUGGAAAGAAGAAUUGCAGACAUUUUUGUCUUGUUCCUGAUUUUUAAAGGGAUGCUUCUAACAUUUCACCUUGAAGAAUGAUGUUUCAAGAAUGAUGUUUGCUGUAAUUAUUUGAUUCGUCACUGUGGCUAGGUAGAGGUCAAUCAUAUCCAGUUUAGAAGGCUACCAAAUGGGCUUUCCAUCCCUAGCAUCCGUGCACUGAUGCCUGAGUACCAACCACAGUAGAGGCCAGUGGUAGAGGUCAACGGUAGCCUGGAAGAAGACCUGACUGGUUGUUAAUUCACAUCCCCUUUCUCCCACUCAAAACUUACUUUGUCUAAGAAGCUCUUCUUGAUUAUCAGCCUGUGAUCUACCUUGAGGCUGGGAACCACAUCAUUUCGUCUCUCUCUCCCUAGGGCCUGGCACAAUGCCUACAGAGUCGUUGCUCAUAAACUUCUGUGAAACGAGUUCACCCAACCCAAUUCUGAGCUCUUCUUGGCUCAGUUGACCUGAUUUUAAAAACUGUUUCUUCAAAAUGGUCUUGAGCCUUUUUUUGCACACAUUACAUGCAUAUUCUCUGUCUCACAGGACAGAGAGUGGUUGAUUUGCAGAUGCGAAUUGUGCCUACAAGGAAUUUCUUUUGACUUUCCAAUUUCAGAACCUGCCCUGCACUAGCGCCAAGUCCCUUCGGAGUCUUGUCCCAUCUGUCUGUUCAUCCACGUUCCUCCUCACAUGUUGGAAACUCUAAGUAGGCCUCACUCCUUACGGUUUCCAAGUGGGCCAUGCUCCAUGCUUCUGAGCCAGACCUUUGCUCAUGCCGUGACCUUUGCCCAGCAUGCCUGCUCUCCAACCCUUCUUUCCGUGAACCCCUUAGUCUUUCACACCGUACUCAGUUGUCAAAUCCUUGGUGAAGCCUCUUUCCGCUCUCCCCCUUCUCUUCCUCACCCCCUUAGGGUCAGUCUUCCAUCCUCUAUGCUCUUCAGAUGUUGUAUAUGU
Callorhinus ursinus (northern fur seal) is the source of this 1075-nucleotide non-coding RNA. Lineage: Eukaryota; Metazoa; Chordata; Mammalia; Carnivora; Otariidae. The record is from RefSeq and is a predicted model, not a curated record.